RNAcentral lists this long non-coding RNA (479 nucleotides) under Brassica napus (rape). RNAcentral describes it as "long non-coding RNA (BNAP_LNC019323)". Lineage: Eukaryota; Viridiplantae; Streptophyta; Magnoliopsida; Brassicales; Brassicaceae. The record is from RNAcentral.
AUUAUAUUAAUUUCUAAAUUUAUGCAAACCAAUAAGUCCCCAACUGUACUUAGGUGGGGGUAUUGAAUUAAGAAAUUUGAUAGAAUUCGAAAGAAUUAUGGUUUCCAGCAAAUUCUUGUGUUAUUCAAUUGUGUAUUUUAUCAAAUCUUUCGAAUUCUUGUGUUAUUCAAUUGUGUAUUUUACUAAUUUAUUUAAAUUUUAGUGUUAUUCAAUAUUUGGUAAAUUUAAUAGAAAUGUUAUUUGAAAGGAAUUUAAUGGAAAAUGUAAUGUAAAAUGCAAAUGAUCAAUUCCUUGAUUUUACGAAGGGAUUUGUUAUUUUUAGAACCAACUUGACCCCAUGGUAACCCACUAUGUCUUUAGAAGACAUAUCACCUACACCAGUCCAAUUCCACGUCUCUCCUCUUCCAAAACCGGAACCGAAAAACUGAACUAUAACCAAACCGAAUUACCCGAAACCAAAAUCGGACCGCCUCAAACAC